AACGUAAGAUGACUGUAGGUGAAAGCUUACAUCUCUUCGGAGCUAUUUUACGAGGUGCUGCAUGGUUGUCGUCAGCUCGUGCCGUGAGGUGUCGGGUUAAGUCCCAUAACGAGCGCAACCCCUACCUUUAGUUGCCAUCAGGUAAUGCUGGGGACUCUAAAGGAACUGCCUACGCAAGUAGUGAGGAAGGCGGGGAUGACGUCAAAUCAGCACGGCCCUUACGUCCAGGGCUACACACGUGCUACAAUGGCCGAUACAGAGGGCAGCUACCUGGUGACAGGAUGCAAAUCUCCAAAGUCGGUCUCAGUUCGGAUCGGAGUCUGCAACCCGACUCCGUGAAGUUGGAUUCGCUAGUAAUCGCGCAUCAGCCAUGGCGCGGUGAAUACGUUCCCGGGCCUU
RNAcentral lists this ribosomal RNA (399 nucleotides) under uncultured Sphingobacteriales bacterium. RNAcentral describes it as "bacterial SSU rRNA". It matches the Rfam family "Bacterial small subunit ribosomal RNA", at positions 984 to 1382 of the family's 1533-position model. Lineage: Bacteria; Pseudomonadati; Bacteroidota; Sphingobacteriia; Sphingobacteriales. The record is from RNAcentral.